Molecule: unclassified non-coding RNA, 1033 nt
Filed under: Hevea brasiliensis (rubber tree)
Lineage: Eukaryota; Viridiplantae; Streptophyta; Magnoliopsida; Malpighiales; Euphorbiaceae
Source: RNAcentral
UCUUUUUUUUUUUUUUUUAAUUUCCUCCUCCUCCAUUCUUCACUCCUCUCCACUAAAUUUUUACAUUGAUCACACUGAAGGAUGCAUGUCCUUUGUCCUUACAAAUAAAACAGUAAUGCUGUGUUCUCAUGAAACCUUCAUUAUCCCAGUAAGGUGACAAUGACAUGGAUCCUCUCAUUUUUGUGCAAACACGAUCUAUCAUGUUUGCACAAUCUCAGCUCUUGAAUUCAAAAUAAAUGGUUGAGAUUUUGCUAAAAAUUAAAAUUUAAUUUUCAGGUAAUCAGUGGUUAUAUAUGAAAAAAUAAAAACUCAAUGGAUCAUUUUGACAUUGCUCAAACAUGAGAGGAUCUUGAUGCAGGCGACAAAUAAUGAUUUACUAAACAACCAACUUCAUACUUGUAAUUAAUCAAACCCCAAUAUCUUGGCAUCAUAGGAGGCGAGGCUUAGGCUAUGUAGAGUAAUCAAUGCACCAAGUACCCAAUUCAAUCUAACGCAAUUUCUAGGACAAAUUAUCAAGCACCAAAUGGCCUGAAGGAGGGGCUACAACUUGAAUGGCAAUUUGCAAUUGGAGCAUUAGAACCGUUAGCUCAGAGUAAACAACUAAACAUGCUGAGUUAAUCCAACUAUUGAUGUCAUUAGGGAUACAGCUUCAAAAGGGACAUAGGAAACAAGUAAAGAAAAUACAAUCUCCAACAUAGAAGGCACAGCAAAAUCUACAAUGUGCUCAGGCAAUAAUAACGAUAAUUAGUUAUAUAGCUUCAAAACGCAAAACCCUAGAUUGCUCAACGCACAUGCUUAACAUUUGCUUCAAAGUCAAAACAGAACCAAAAGAAACAACAACUCACAAACAAAAUUUUCUAAACUAGGGUUUUACCAUAAUCAAUUUAAAGAUAAUCAAAUUCAUUAUACUCUAAAAUUUAAUAGAAAGAAUUAACUUCAAAGAUAAAGCAAACGAAUGGUGAGAAGAAACGAGUUGAUAGAAGAAGAAAAUCAUCGAAAAAAUAAGAAACUGGAACAUACCUGAGAAAGAGAA